This is an RNA transcript of Chroicocephalus ridibundus (black-headed gull), 7286 nucleotides long. It is a transcript of the gene named lunapark, ER junction formation factor, with no coding region annotated. Lineage: Eukaryota; Metazoa; Chordata; Aves; Charadriiformes; Laridae. The record is from RefSeq and is a predicted model, not a curated record. The transcript is spliced from 14 exons.
GGGAGCGCCGCCCCGGCAGCCGGGCCCCUCCUUCGGCGGGCGGCGGCGGCAGGAUGCGCGGCCCGGCCUGCGGCAGCUGUGAAUUCUUGUAGAAGAUUGAUAGCUCUGUCAACAUUUGCCCACGAUAGAAGAUGGGUGGAUUAAUUUCAAGAUGGAGGCAGGCAAAGCCUUCCACUGUAGAAGUAUUAGAAAAAAUUGACAAGGAAAUACAGACAUUAGAAGAAUUUAGAGAAAAAAAUCAGAGGCUACAGAAACUAUGGGUUGGAAGGCUGCUUCUCUACUCUUCACUCCUUUACCUUAUCACCUGCUUAAUCGUAUAUUUGUGGUGUCUUCCUGAUGAAUGGACAGCAAGGUUGAUUAUGACACUUCCAUUUUUUGCGUUUCCAUUGAUAAUCUGGUUUAUAAGAACACUGCUCAUUUUUUUCUUUUCCAAAAGGACGGAAAGGAAUAAUGAUGCGCUGGAAGAUUUAAAGUCUCAAAAGAAAAAAAUACUUGAGGAGGUAAUGGAGAAGGAAACGUACAAGACUGCUAAAUUAAUCCUUGACAGGUUUGAUCCAGAAUCAAGUGCAAAGGAGGCUGAACUGCCAUCUGCUGGAACAUCUGCAACCCCAAGACCUGGACAAGAAAUUCGUCAGAGGACCACAGCUCAAAGAAAUGCUGCUACGCCCACACCUGUGGCUCCUAAACAAGGCUCUCCAAAAUCACUGGUUCCAGCAUCUCCUAGUCUGCAGAGAGACGCAUCGGCUCUCAGCGGACCCCCAGAAAGAACCAUGGUGCCAUCCUUGCAGUCACCAAGACGCUCUGGAUCCCCUGCUACUUCAGUGCCUGGAAUGGGUCUUCAUCCUCCAGGCCCUCCUUUAGCAAGACCUAUUCUUCCUCGAGAAAGAGGAGUUGUGGAUAGAGUUAUUGAAUAUUUGGUUGGCGAUGGUCCUCAGAACAGGUACGCCCUUAUUUGUCAGCAAUGUUUUUCUCACAAUGGUAUGGCUUUGAAGGAGGAGUUUGAAUACAUAGCAUUUAGGUGUGCCUACUGCUUUUUCCUGAAUCCUGCGAGAAAAACUAGACCUCGGGCUCCACGGCUUCCAGACUUCAGCUUUGAAAAAAAGCAAUCUACAGAACUACGAUCUGAAACUGAGCUUCUAGAACCUAGAGAGAGAAAACCCCAGGAGGCUCAACAGACAGAAGAAUCUGAAGAAGACACGGCCCGUAUUGUUGAGACAAAUGAGACAGAUGAUAAAGCACCAAGUCCUGAGCAGCUAAAUGAUAAGCUAGCUGAAGAAGUUGAAAAAGAAGAAGCAGAAAACAUUUCAACAACUGAAGACUCUAUUUCGGAGUCUAUUCCAGCUGAACCAAGUGAAGAAUUUUUAAUGAAAGCAGAAUAAAGUACUUCAAGUGCCUUCUGUAGCUAGUUUUUUAGCUUUGUUCAUGCCUGUUGUUACUAUUCAGAGAUGCUGGAUUUGUAGAAAACUCAAGCAACAAAGACCUUCUAGCUCUCCUGAAAUGGUCUGCUCUCUAAUUCCUUGCAUCACCUCAAGGAGUUCUGCUCAGUUGAUGAAACUUAAUUUUUGACCUGUUCAGCACACAAAGAAAAACGUUUUUCAAAAACGCCGAGAAAAUGCAUUUUUAAGAAAACUCUUUUAAAUGCGGUUUUGAAAGAAAUCUGAAAGUUGUUAUUUCUUGAGGAAUGUUUGUACUUCUAUCUUGUAUGUUUUGUAUAUUGAGCUGUUAUUUAAACAGGAAAUCCUGUAUAUUUAUAGCUUAAAUUCUUAUUAUUGUGAUACCUCUGUUUUUGCUGUAGUAAGGGGAAUGUGUGUUUAUGUACUAUAAACAGUAUCUUUAAUCAGAAGUGUCAUUUUAAUCCUAGUUGUGGCCUUGACCAGUAGUUACAUCACCUGCAGUUGAAACUCCAUUAAAAUCAAUGGGAAAGAUGUUAAUUCGCGGGAAUUCUUGGGGUCUGGUAGACUUCGUGAAAUGUCUGUCUCAGCUUUUCUGCUUGUAAAAGAGAAAAUAUUUAAACUCCUGCUCCCGUUUUUAAAUUUGGUAUUUUUAAAGGAAAUUCUAAAGAUUAUGAAAUUAACUGGUAUAGCUUGUUGUUUGAACGUGUGCCGCCUUUGCUGUGUAUGUAAUUUCUUUGAGGAAAAACCUGGUUCUGAAAAAGCUACUGAAGAUUCGUCUGAUCUGGAUUAUGAUGAUGGCUGGGGUAAGAGGCUGCCCUUUGCGUAGCAGUGAUUUAUGGUUUUAAGGUGAUAAUUCUGUUUAGUAGUGCAUCCGGUGCUGGCUAUACUCAAAUCAAUUUGGAUUUCGUAGAUUAUUAUUUUUUUUUUUUUAAGGCUCUCAUAUGUUACCAAAACAAGGAUGAGGGUGCCCCAGCUUCUUCAGUGCAGCCCCCGCCCCCGAGUUGGACUGGCAUAUGUAGGAAAAGAAAGUGGUUCAAGGUUGAGUAGGUUCUUCUGAUAAGACCCAUUUAUCUGUGCUACAACCAAUUGUGAGAACUCCUGGCUCAUGCCACGAGCAGCCAGUGACCCACCAUGGAAGGGUGGGCUGGCAUACGACUGCAAAAUUCUGUGUGCACAGGGAAAGCCUGCCUUGUGACUCAAUAUUUAAAAAAAAAAAUUGUGUGGCAACUUCAGAGGGGACUGAAGAACUGUGAAGAUGCUGAUUCCAUAGGCGCAUACAUUUCAGGGUGGGUAUUUUUAUUCUAUCUAAAUGGUGAUUUAUGUCCUUAUUCCUGCAUUAUUGUCCACAAGGUACUGCCCUGUGUCACAGGCCUGUAUUACCUGAUUUUUUCAGACUGUUUCAUUUUCAUUAGUGCGGCUGCUGUAGCUUGUGAUCAGCGUACUGCACCUCAUUGAUAAUCUAAGAGAGUAUUAGAGGCGCAGAAGUGACACCUAACCCCGUCAGUCUGGCUUGAUUGACCCUGCAGCUUCCGAAACAUGGGUUCAUUUUUAUUUUAUUUUUUUUUUUUAAAAAACCCAAGUUAGCCCCACAUCCAUUUUCACACACGUUCCGGGCAGUUUAAAGGUUGGUCGGAAUCGAAUAUUGCUCUUUCAAAUUUGAUAAUGUAUGAGUACAGAACUGUGACCUUUGAUACGUAGUAAUACAUCAACAUGACACGAGCAGUAAGUGCCGCAAUUACCUUUACUACACUUGAGAUUGUGUUUUAGUCCUCAUCUUGUAAGCAAUUAUUUCAGGGGGAAAAAAAAAAAGGAUGCCUCUAAGUUAAAUAUAUUUUGCAAAUAGUGUAAAUGCAGAAAUUAAUCUUUGGGGACUUUUUGAUUUACAGGUGAAUGGUUUCAAAUGAAUCUUGGCUUUUAAAUUAACGUUGGUUCAGUGGUAGAAAGGAGUCUUGUGCCACUGGCUUCUUUUAUGAUACUUUUUUCUGGGAGAGUUUCUUUAACCCUUUUUGUUGUGUUCUAAUGUAAUCUUAACUUUCAUAUUCUGGUUUAUGGCUAAAGCCUGAUCCUGCGAGCAGGUGACGUGUCACUGCGUUCGCGUUGCUCCUGUGAUAAUAUCUGUCAGAGUUAGUGACGUGCAUGAUAGUAACGCAAGUUUACAUGCUUUUAAGUGCUGUUCAGAACAUACGAGAGUAUCUCAGACCUGCACCACGUACUGAUUUAAAAGGCUGUUUUAGCUGCUCCAGUGAUGUUUCAUCUUUUUCCUGAGCCCAUCCAAGAUACAUUUGGUUUAGUUUCCAAGCUUUCUUCCUCACCUGUUGUUAUAAAUUAUUCGGGUAAUGAUAGUGCGCAACCACUACCUGGUAGGCGCGAUAAAAACACAAAUCAAUACUCCUUGCCAGAGAGCAGAAAGCCUCGAGAGGACUGAUAGCGGCUUCUGUUCCGCGGACUAAAAAUCAGAAUAAAAUUACUGUGUCAUUCUGAGCAAGCAAUUUGAGUAACCGUUGAAUGGUGACUUUCUCUCAAUGCUGUCUGUCAUGACCAAAACUCGAAGGAAUAACUUGAAGCAGAACUUCUUGUUCUUCUGAAAUAUCUGCUUCCUCAGCGGCCGGGCGCUGAGCAGUGUCGGCGUGCUGGGGUUAGGCACUGAACUUUAAUUCAGGAGCUGGGAAAAUGCUCAUUUGGUUUUAUGUUGAGGUCGAAAUCAACACCUUUUGGAAUGGUUUUCUUUAAGCUGCCCAAAAAUGGAACGCCUAGACCCUGGUGAAUGGGACCUUGGUGGAGGAGGCGGCCGAGCCGGGUGGCUGAUGUGGGAUGGGGACUGGAUGGAGCCUGUCUCUCCCAGAUCCGAGCAGAGUGGCGAGUGCUUUCUCCAGAGCGGGUUUCUUCUGUCCACCUCCUGGCUGCGGAAAUUGCUCGUUGGCUGUACAUACACAUUGGUCAUAAAUUGCUAAUUAAAGCUUCAGCAAAAUGGACGAGUGUCUCUAACAGAGUUUCUCACUGCUUUUCUAGCAACGGUUAGAAAAUUCUUGACUUUCUGUGGUGCCGUUUGUUCUCUGGGAGGAGGAAAAGCGAAACAAAUGCAUUAGAUCAUCACAUUAAUUGCUCCUCGUCAAGCUCGCGGGUACACAAACUGUUUUGCAGAGCCACAAGGAAGGCGCUGCCCGGGGGAAAUUGCGCAAACGUUUCUGUGCUGUUGCUUUCAACCUGUGCCUGCAAGGGCACUUGGGCCCUUAUCUAUUUCAAAAUAAUGAUAAUAAAAAAAAUCAGCAAAAACCAAAACUUCAAGCGUUUGCAUGCUUUUAUUAAAUUUUAAAUGUUAAUAGUAGUAACUUAUUUUGGAAAAAACACCCAACCCCCCUUUGUGCAGCAUUUUCCAUAAAAAAAAAAGUAAAUAUUGUGUAUAUGGCAAUCUUGAGUCUAUGCCGCUGACUUUAGCGGAUGAGGGUGGUUACAACAGCUCAGUGUGGAAGUUUGUUUUUCGUCUGGGGCUCUGUUUGUAGGAAGUUCCUUAUGGUGAAAGGAUGCCCUUGUGCAGGUGGGUGGCUCCAUGGGUAGAGAAGUGCAUUUGUUACUUGGCUACAACGGCAACCACCGCAUCAGUAUUUGUUGAUUGUUGUUUGCUCAUGCUGAAUUUAUUACUUCUGGUGACAACUUAGGCAUCUUUAGUUCUCUGUAUUGUAUAUUAUUAACUAUUUUUAGUUUUUUUUUUUUUUAAAGAACUGGCAACACUGGUAUUCCCCAACAGUAGAAUCCCUUUUAUAGUGUCUGGAAAACAUUUCCUUUCUCUCGUAUUUUAGAGAAGUGAGUGAAGGUAAUAUUUUUUUUUUCCCUACUACAUUCCUACUACAGCAAUGUGACUAGAAUUAUUUAUUUCUCAAAAAUGCUCAGAUUUUUGUCUUGUUUCAGCUAUUUGGCUACAUCUGUGUGUUGCUGGGGCUUUUUUAAAGAGAUGGUGAAUGACAGCCUGGUGUUGCAGAAUGUAUCUUCUUUUUAAAGAAAGAAAAUUUUUUUUCUUCAAACUUGCCGGUUUGCAAUGGUGAAAUCCUCCUGGAUGGAGUCCGUUGGAUUAUUGAACAAAUAGCGAGCAGCUGAAAUUUAGGGACCCUUAAUGGAAAGUACUCAACUAAGACUGUGUGCAACUUACUGUGAUUACUCCUGGUAUACUAUAAUGUGGCGUUAUGUUCAUCUAGUCAUGGAGUUUGAUUUAUUUGAUUUUAGAAAUCUCAGAUUGUGUUAUGAGUAAGUGUAAUGAUUCCGAGAGCUGGAAUAUUGUUAGCCAUUGUGAACAGUACUGAAGGAGUCUCAGGAUGUAUAAUGUGAUAGAUGCAAUUUUGUUUGAAUUUUUUUUUUUGCCAAGGCCAAUUUAAUUUUGAUUUAUUUGCCUCAUUAACCCAAGGAUUCAGAAAAUUGAAUGCCACCUGAGUGAGGUAUUAUUAACACUAGUGAAAUAUCUUCAAAAUCGCUUCAUGCUUAUAAAUUGGUCUUUUGAAAGCUUUUUAAAGGCAUAAUGAUACUGUAGUGAAAAUGUACAGCAUCAUUUAAAAAUUGCAAAAUGCUUAUUUGAUUUCUGAAAUAAGACUUGGUCACCUGACUUAAAUGUAUACUGAUCUAUUAUUUAUGCUUUGAAAAUAGAGCUGAUAAAAAGCAUAAGUGUUCUUGAUAUUAUAUUUUGUCAUAUCUAGCUAAAAAGAUUGAAAUCCAGAGAAACAAUUUUCUGAAGAAAUGAAAUAGUAUGCCCUCCUGAACCCCUGGGGAAAAUAGCCUCUCUGUUUGCUCAGAAUAUGAAGCAGUAAAACAGUAUAAGUAAAACAGACAGCCCAUGUCACAUUCCUAUUUGUACAGUCUGGAAUGAUGUUUUAAAAACAUUUUCUAGUUAUUUUUGAUAAAUAAACGGUGCAAAUAACAUCUGCAAACCAACCCUGCUGAUGUAAGAUUUUUUUUCAGAUCAGAUUUGUUUCUCAGUGAAAGUCAGAAAAUUGCUUUGCAAAACUAAAGUUGGAUAACUCCCAAAAAUAUGCAUAACAAAUGUGCAAGAAUAUAUCUUGCUCUCUUUUUUGCCUCCCCUCCGAGAAGCUAAUGCUGAUUCUUCAUUAUCUUUGCUUCCGGGCUCAGAAGCUAGCUUGAUAAAAUUAUCAAACAUCAAAAAAGCUCAGUUGCUAAACACAGACGUGUUUAUAAGGUGUUAAAUAGCUGAACGCUCACGUUGGUAGUGGGGAAUCUGGCUGCCCUUUCGGAACAGUAUAUCCUGGUUAAAGCCUUGAGAUUUCCCUCAGAGCCACUGAAAGCUAAGCUUAAGGGUUAUAAGAGCCUUCCACAGGUGACGCACCCAAGGUCGGGGGUCUAAAGGACGUGAGCGUGCUGCCUGGCUCUUGCUUUCUGCAGGUUCUGCCGAAGGCUGUGGCACGCUGAGGAUGAAGGGAGGUUCCUCCAAGUCUUGUGGCUUCCAGAAGCUCACUCUUUAGAGCGGCGUCAGCAUCCUGGUGCUGAUUUCCUUCACUGACUGGAAGAUGGAAGAAAAUUCCCUGGGCCAGCAGGGUUGAGAAAUCCGCUGUCACAGCUCUACAAAUGCCCCGUUGCCCAAGACCGGACGAGGAAGCGGGGGUCUGUACAUCUCCCAGAACACUGCUUGUGGAGGGAGUGGGCUUCCAGCUGCGUUUGAGGAAUGUAUGUCUUCGAGGCGCUCUUGCUGUGCUUUGGACUUCUCUGCGGAGUUGGUUAAAACCGACUUUAAAUGGUAUUUUUGUAAGGGUUUGCAGUCAAUGGACUCCAUUGCAGUCAAUGGACUCCAUCUCGGGCUGAAUUCUGUGAUACUCCCACAGAGUACAAGAUGCAUGUAUUUUGUAAAUAUCUAUGGGUUUAAUAGUGACUAAAAAAAGUGUGUGUUUUUAUUUU